CAAUAGCGUAUAUUUAAGUUGUUGCAGUUAAAAAGCUCGUAGUUGGAUUUCGGGUGUGAACGACCGGUCCGUCUUUGAUGUGUACUGGUUGGUUGCGCCUUAUUGUCGAGGACGUGGUUCUAGCUUUCAUUAGCCGGGACACGGAGUCGGCAGCGUUACUUUGAGAAAAUUAGAGUGUUCAAAGCAGGCUAUCGCUCUGAAUACUACAGCAUGGAAUAACACGAUAGGACUCCGAGCCUAUUCUGUUGGUCUUCGGGACCGGAGUAAUGAUUAAGAGGGACAGUUGGGGGCAUUCGUAUUCCGAUGUCAGAGGUGAAAUUCUUGGAUUAUCGGAAGACGAGCAUCUGCGAAAGCAUUUGCCAAGGAUGUUUUCAUCAA
RNAcentral lists this ribosomal RNA (378 nucleotides) under uncultured eukaryote. RNAcentral's name for it is "partial 18S ribosomal RNA". It matches the Rfam family "Eukaryotic small subunit ribosomal RNA", at positions 592 to 976 of the family's 1831-position model. The record is from RNAcentral.